Molecule: ribosomal RNA, 229 nt
Filed under: Pycnococcus provasolii
Lineage: Eukaryota; Viridiplantae; Chlorophyta; Pseudoscourfieldiophyceae; Pseudoscourfieldiales; Pycnococcaceae
Description: partial Bacterial small subunit ribosomal RNA
Rfam family: Bacterial small subunit ribosomal RNA
Source: RNAcentral
UCAAGUCAGCAUGGCCUUUAUAUCCAGGGCUACACACACGCUACAAUGGCGCGUACAAUGGGUCGCGAACCUGCGAAGGGGAGCUAAUCCUAAAAAGCGCGUCUCAGUUCAGAUCGUAGGCUGCAACCCGCCUGCGUGAAGUUGGAGUUGCUAGUAACCGCGCGUCAGCAGAGUGCGGUGAAUACGUUCCCGGUCCUUGUACACACCGCCCGUCACGUCACUCAAGUCG